Mus musculus (house mouse) is the source of this 965-nucleotide long non-coding RNA. RefSeq annotates it as RIKEN cDNA D630024D03 gene. The transcript is spliced from 4 exons. Lineage: Eukaryota; Metazoa; Chordata; Mammalia; Rodentia; Muridae. The record is from RefSeq and is marked validated.
AGGGAGUGCGACCUCGCUGCUGAGUUAGCCUGGCUCUUGAGCCGGGCUGAUAGAAACUCCCCCAAUCCCCACUUGUUUCUGUGUUUAGGGUUUGGCAAACUGGUGUUUUCACUCUCAGGGGCUAGCUCCAUUUGUCUGGCCACUUUUCUGACUACAGUGCUGGGUACUGCACCUUUACAACAAGGCUGUGAGGGCUGAGCACUCAGAGGCAGAGGCUGGGGGAUCCCUGAGUUCAAGGCUACCCAGGGCUACGCAUUCCAACUCAUCUUCAGCUCUACUGAAAGCUGACAGCUCAGUCUUGAAAACCCAAAGCUCUGCUCCUGCUAUCAGGAGGAUUCCUGCAUCCAUUUAUUGUAUCCUCCAUUCCAGACUGGACUCCUAAACCAUGCCACGCCCUAUCUGGGCACCAGGGCUAACAAGCUCUGCCCAGUGUGGAAUCAGAGUCUCCUCCUGGCUGCUUUCAAGAUGCAGAACUCUCCGCUCUCUCCAGCACCAUGUCUGCUUGCACGCUGCCAUGCUUCUCCCCAUGGUGAUAAUGGACUGAACCUCUGAAACUGGCCCAAGAGGACAUUCAGUCCCAAGACGUGUUCAUGGGCAAAGCUUGCCAAUGUUGCAAGAAGCGGCUGCUGUAAGCAGGCAGGCUGCAGACCUUUGCACACGGCACUGCCUCUCAUAGGCAGGCAACUUAAGUGCUCACUGCCUAUGGGAAGCUGUGCUGUGCUGUCUGGAGCUGGCUGAGGCAAGGCACGUGAGCUUGAGUGGAGCACGUGCAGGGCCACUGUCAUUAUGGAAAUCCUGACUCUGAAGGCUAAUUCUGCGUCUAAAUGAGUUGAAAUGAAAUGCAAAGAACACAUCCAUCACUCCAGUUCACCCUUGUUCAGCCUCGCAUCUCAUUACUGUGCUACUCUGCCUAUGUAUUAUGAAUUAAUAUAUUUAAUAAAUUCUGUAAUUAUCUUGUGAACAGU